AAAGAAAAAAAAUUAGCAUUUGACCCAUGACUGCCGGGUGAACGACGUCGGAUUAUCAUAAUGAUGAUACAUUCAUGACGGCCGUAUCAAUCAAACUCACCUACCCAGGGGGGUGCAGAAACGCCCGUGGAGAACGAACAGCGAUUAAAAUAUCGUCUGCGUUUACGCUCGCGGCUGAUUAAUGAUUCUUCCAAGUAGACAACCUCACGCGUGAGUAUUUGAAAUUUUCUCUCCCGAUGUGCCACUUUCAACUCAAACAUUAGUUGCAACAAAUAUAUACAUCCCUAUUGAAAUGCAGCUCGUAAAAUUCGCACGAAAUAAAUUAGGGUAAGGAUAUCAUUGAAGUUAAACGUAGAACUCUGUUUUUGAUGACAAGUCAAAUUCCACCUGUUCGUUUUUGUACAUCUCGACGGUCU
This 416-nucleotide unclassified non-coding RNA is filed under the name Athalia rosae (coleseed sawfly). RNAcentral describes it as "misc RNA ENSAEAG00005000731.1". The record is from RNAcentral. Lineage: Eukaryota; Metazoa; Arthropoda; Insecta; Hymenoptera; Athaliidae.